ACAUAAAGUAGCUUUAGAUUUUAAUUUACAUAUCAACAGAACAGAGUAUCUCAAUGAAGUCGGUUCGUUUACAUUUAUAUUUGAUUUCACGAUUAAUACAGCUGUCAGGCCUAGUUAAACCGAACUGGAUGUGGAACCGAGGGGUUUUGUUUGAUAGCAGACUUCAACAACUGGAUCCUUUCGCAGGUUUGUUUUGUGGUGAAGUUAGGCAGCUAGUUAAAAUCGCUAAUACAACGCUCAGGCUAAGUUUGGAAAUCAAACAGGGAAAUCACGUAUUCUUUAUUACUGUCGGGCACACAUUUCACAUCCAACACGUUUAAGAACAUCAUUUUAAAAUUUAACAUGAAAGUAAUAGACAUUCAAUUAAAAUUUAGAGAUUAAAAACGAAUUAUUAC
Long non-coding RNA from Puntigrus tetrazona (Sumatra barb), 395 nucleotides. RefSeq lists it as uncharacterized. NCBI's taxonomy places the organism in Eukaryota, Metazoa, Chordata, Actinopteri, Cypriniformes, Cyprinidae. The transcript has 2 exons. The record is from RefSeq and is a predicted model, not a curated record.